GCGGUAGUAGCUCAGUGGUAGAGCACAACCUUGCCAAGGUUGGGGUCGCGGGUUCGAGUCCCGUCUACCGCU
This 72-nucleotide transfer RNA is filed under the name bacterium. Its description in RNAcentral is "tRNA-Gly". It matches the Rfam family "tRNA". From Rfam's summary of the family: Transfer RNA (tRNA) molecules are approximately 80 nucleotides in length. Their secondary structure includes four short double-helical elements and three loops (D, anti-codon, and T loops). The record is from RNAcentral. RNAcentral also lists the same sequence under 1 other name.